GUGGGUAUAGCUCAGUUGGUUAGAGCGCCGGAUUGUGAUUCCGGAGGUCGCGGGUUCGACCCCCGUUACUCACCCC
This 76-nucleotide transfer RNA is filed under the name Gimesia aquarii. RNAcentral's name for it is "Planctomycetes bacterium V144 tRNA-His". It matches the Rfam family "tRNA". Rfam says of the family: Transfer RNA (tRNA) molecules are approximately 80 nucleotides in length. Their secondary structure includes four short double-helical elements and three loops (D, anti-codon, and T loops). Lineage: Bacteria; Pseudomonadati; Planctomycetota; Planctomycetia; Planctomycetales; Planctomycetaceae. The record is from RNAcentral.